AAGGCUGAGCUGUGAUGGGGAAGCUCCUUAUGGAGCGAAGUCUUUGAUUCCCCGCUGCCAAGAAAAGCUUCUAGCGAGAUAAAAGGUGCCUGUACCGCAAACCGACACAGGUAGGCGAGGAGAGAAUCCUAAGGUGUGCGAGAGAACUCUGGUUAAGGAACUCGGCAAAAUGACCCCGUAACUUCGGGAGAAGGGGUGCUUUCUUAACGGAAAGCCGCAGUGAAUAGGCCCAAGCGACUGUUUAGCAAAAACACAGCUCUCUGCGAAGCCGUAAGGCGAAGUAUAGGGGGUGACACCUGCCCGGUGCUGGAAGGUUAAGGAGAGGGGUUAGCGUAAGCGAAGCUCUGAACUGAAGCCCCAGUAAACGGCGGCCGUAACUAUAACGGUCCUAAGGUAGCGAAAUUCCUUGUCGGGUAAGUUCCGACCCGCACGAAAGGUGUAACGAUUUGGGCACUGUCUCAACCAGAGACUCGGUGAAAUUAUAGUACCUGUGAAGAUGCAGGUUACCCGCGACAGGACGGAAAGACCCCGUGGAGCUUUACUGUAGCCUGAUAUUGAAUUUUGGUACAGUUUGUACAGGAUAGGCGGGAGCCUUUGAAACCGGAGCGCUAGCUUCGGUGGAGGCGCUGGUGGGAUACCGCCCUGACUGUAUUGAAAUUCUAACCUACGGGUCUUAUCGACCCGGGAGACAGUGUCAGGUGGGCAGUUUGACUGGGGCGGUCGCCUCCUAAAGUGUAACGGAGGCGCCCAAAGGUUCCCUCAGAAUGGUUGGAAAUCAUUCGUAGAGUGCAAAGGCAUAAGGGAGCUUGACUGCGAGACCUACAAGUCGAGCAGGGACGAAAGUCGGGCUUAGUGAUCCGGUGGUUCCGCAUGGAAGGGCCAUCGCUCAACGGAUAAAAGCUACCCCGGGGAUAACAGGCUUAUCUCCCCCAAGAGUCCACAUCGACGGGGAGGUUUGGCACCUCGAUGUCGGCUCAUCGCAUCCUGGGGCUGUAGUCGGUCCCAAGGGUUGGGCUGUUCGCCCAUUAAAGCGGUACGCGAGCUGGGUUCAGAACGUCGUGAGACAGUUCGGUCCCUAUCCGUCGUGGGCGUAGGAAAUUUGAGAGGAGCUGUCCUUAGUACGAGAGGACCGGGAUGGACGCACCGCUGGUGUACCAGUUGUUCUGCCAAGGGCAUAGCUGGGUAGCUAUGUGCGGAAGGGAUAAGUGCUGAAAGCAUCUAAGCAUGAAGCCCCCCUCAAGAUGAGAUUUCCCAUAGCGUAAGCUAGUAAGAUCCCUGAAAGAUGAUCAGGUUGAUAGGUUCGAGGUGGAAGCAUGGUGACAUGUGGAGCUGACGAAUACUAAUAGAUCGAGGACUUAACCAU
This 1363-nucleotide ribosomal RNA is filed under the name Bacillus anthracis (anthrax bacterium). RNAcentral's name for it is "partial 23S ribosomal RNA". It matches the Rfam family "Bacterial large subunit ribosomal RNA", at positions 1552 to 2925 of the family's 2925-position model. RNAcentral also lists the same sequence under 56 other names. Lineage: Bacteria; Bacillati; Bacillota; Bacilli; Caryophanales; Bacillaceae. The record is from RNAcentral.